RNAcentral lists this ribosomal RNA (253 nucleotides) under uncultured bacterium. RNAcentral describes it as "partial 16S ribosomal RNA". It matches the Rfam family "Bacterial small subunit ribosomal RNA", at positions 524 to 776 of the family's 1533-position model. The record is from RNAcentral.
UACGUAGGUGACAAGCGUUGUCCGGAUUUACUGGGCGUAAAGAGCGCGCAGGCGGUCGUUCAAGUCGAGUGUGAAAGCCCCCGGCUCAACUGGGGAGGGUCAUUCGAUACUGAUCGACUCGAAGGCAGGAGAGGGUAGUGGAAUUCCCGGUGUAGUGGUGAAAUGCGUAGAUAUCGGGAGGAACACCAGUGGCGAAGGCGACUAUCUGGCCUGUUCUUGACGCUGAGGCGCGAAAGCUAGGGGAGCAAACGGG